CCUACGGGAGGCAGCAGUGGGGAAUAUUGGACAAUGGGUGCAAGCCUGAUCCAGCCAUACCGCGUGGGUGAAGAAGGCCUUCGGGUUGUAAAGCCCUUUUGUUGGGAAAGAAGAGUAACUGGCUAAUACCCGGUUGUUCUGACGGUACCCAAAGAAUAAGCACCGGCUAACUUCGUGCCAGCAGCCGCGGUAAUACAAAGGGUGCAAGCGUUACUCGGAAUUACUGGGCGUAAAGCGUGCGUAGGUGGUUGUUUAAGAGCUGUUGUGAAAGCCCUGGGCUCAACCUGGGAACUGCAGUGGAAACUGGGCAACUAGAGUGUGGUAGAGGGUAGCGGUAUUCCCGGUGUAGCAGUGAAAUGCGUAGAGAUCGGGAGGAACACCAGUGGCGAAGGCGACUACCUGGACCAACACUGACACUGAGGCACGAAAGCGUGGGGAGCAAACAGGAUUAGAUACCCUGGUAGUCCACGCCCUAAACGAUGCGAACUGGAUGUUGGGUGCACUUUGGCACGCAGUAUCGAAGCUAACGCGUUAAGUUCGCCGCCUGGGGAGUACGGUCGCAAGACUGAAACUCAAAGGAAUUGACGG
This 588-nucleotide ribosomal RNA is filed under the name uncultured bacterium. Its description in RNAcentral is "bacterial SSU rRNA". It matches the Rfam family "Bacterial small subunit ribosomal RNA", at positions 338 to 916 of the family's 1533-position model. The record is from RNAcentral.